AUUGAACGCUGGCGGCAGGCCUAACACAUGCAAGUCGAGCGAGCGGCGGACGGGUGAGUAAUGUAUGGGGACUGCCCGAUAGAGGGGGAUAACUACUGGAAACGGUAGCUAAUACCGCAUACUAUCGGAUAACCCAUAUGGGAUUAGCUAGUAGGUGGGGUAAUGGCUCACCUAGGCGACGAUCCCUAUCUGGUCUGAGAGGAUGAUCAUCCAAACUGGGAUGGAGACACGGCACAGACCCCUACGGAGGCAGCAGUGGGGAAUAUGGAACAGUGGGCGCAAGCCUGAUGCAGCCAUGCCGCGUGUAUGAAGAAGGCCCUAGGGUUUUAAAGUACUUUCAGUCGGGAGGCGUUACCGACAGAAGAAGCACCGGCUAACUCCGUGCCAGCAGCCGCGGUAAUUC
This 403-nucleotide ribosomal RNA is filed under the name uncultured bacterium. Its description in RNAcentral is "partial 16S ribosomal RNA". It matches the Rfam family "Bacterial small subunit ribosomal RNA", at positions 30 to 526 of the family's 1533-position model. The record is from RNAcentral.